AGGGUGAAUGAACCAUGCUGGAGAAGCAGGGCACAUGCUAGAUAUAUCAGCAUCAUGAAUAUCGAUCUGAGAAUUUCGCAUGUGCUCUAGCUCUCCACCUUGGACUCUCUCCCU
RNAcentral lists this microRNA precursor (114 nucleotides) under Fragaria vesca subsp. vesca. Its description in RNAcentral is "Fragaria vesca miR164c stem-loop (fve-MIR164c)". Its record names the gene fve-MIR164c. Lineage: Eukaryota; Viridiplantae; Streptophyta; Magnoliopsida; Rosales; Rosaceae. The record is from miRBase by way of RNAcentral.